Molecule: ribosomal RNA, 745 nt
Filed under: Klebsiella pneumoniae
Lineage: Bacteria; Pseudomonadati; Pseudomonadota; Gammaproteobacteria; Enterobacterales; Enterobacteriaceae
Description: bacterial SSU rRNA
Rfam family: Bacterial small subunit ribosomal RNA
Source: RNAcentral
AAAUUGAAGAGUUUGAUCAUGGCUCAGAUUGAACGCUGGCGGCAGGCCUAACACAUGCAAGUCGAGCGGUAGCACAGAGAGCUUGCUCUCGGGUGACGAGCGGCGGACGGGUGAGUAAUGUCUGGGAAACUGCCUGAUGGAGGGGGAUAACUACUGGAAACGGUAGCUAAUACCGCAUAACGUCGCAAGACCAAAGUGGGGGACCUUCGGGCCUCAUGCCAUCAGAUGUGCCCAGAUGGGAUUAGCUAGUAGGUGGGGUAACGGCUCACCUAGGCGACGAUCCCUAGCUGGUCUGAGAGGAUGACCAGCCACACUGGAACUGAGACACGGUCCAGACUCCUACGGGAGGCAGCAGUGGGGAAUAUUGCACAAUGGGCGCAAGCCUGAUGCAGCCAUGCCGCGUGUGUGAAGAAGGCCUUCGGGUUGUAAAGCACUUUCAGCGGGGAGGAAGGCGAUAAGGUUAAUAACCUUGUCGAUUGACGUUACCCGCAGAAGAAGCACCGGCUAACUCCGUGCCAGCAGCCGCGGUAAUACGGAGGGUGCAAGCGUUAAUCGGAAUUACUGGGCGUAAAGCGCACGCAGGCGGUCUGUCAAGUCGGAUGUGAAAUCCCCGGGCUUAACCUGGGAACUGCAUUCGAAACUGGCAGGCUAGAGUCUUGUAGAGGGGGGUAGAAUUCCAGGUGUAGCGGUGAAAUGCGUAGAGAUCUGGAGGAAUACCGGUGGCGAAGGCGGCCCCCUGGACAAA